GUGCCACUGGAUAGCUCAGUUGGUUACAGCAUGGUGCUGAUAACUCCAAGGCUGCAGGUUUGAUCCCCAUAUGGGACA
Non-coding RNA from Podarcis lilfordi (Lilford's wall lizard), 78 nucleotides. The record is from the annotation of a GenBank genome assembly. Lineage: Eukaryota; Metazoa; Chordata; Lepidosauria; Squamata; Lacertidae.